GCUGGACCUCGCCGUUUCGCAAGCAUCCGAGUUCUCCAGCCGAGGCUCGGGACUGCUGCAGGGUGGAAAAUGAAAGUUCUGAGAGCACCUUCCGCCCCUCCGCUUCUGCACAGCCGGGGCUGCGGUGCGAGGAGCUUGGCCGCGGGGCCCGAACGAGGCGAAGGGGCCGGGGCCCUUGGGGAACCCCCUUCUCUCUUCCACUCUCCCUUAGGUAAAACCCGUGUUCCUCUCACGCUCGACCCAGCGCCUUUCCAGCUGCGGUCGAUUUGCUUCUCCGCGUGUAAGUACAGCCACCCUCAAGGUCAUUGAAAAAGUUUGCUUUAAAUGAGCGUCUGCGGAACUCGUCCUGAGGCUCUCACUGUUACAGAUUAGAGAUGGGGGCGCUUUCUAGUGGAGGAUUUUGCUUUUGCUCUUCUACUUUUGCAAGAAGCUUUUUGUCCUGAAAAGUGGACAGUCAUCUCCAUUUAUAGCUUGGAAUGAAAAUUUGACUAUGGAAGUUGCAGUCGCUACUUGAGAAAUAUUUCCUCCUUCUUUUUUUUUUUUUUUUUUUAUUUUUGACACGGAGUUUUGCUGUUGUUGCCCAAGCUGGAGAGCAGUGCGCGAUCUCGGCUCACUGCAACCUCCGCCUUCCGGUUUCAAGCGAUUCUCCUGCCUCAGCCUCCCGAGUAGGCGGGAUUACAGGUAUGUGCCACCAUGCCCGGCUAAUUUUUGUAUUUUUAGUAGACACGGGGUUUCACCAUGUUGGCCAGGCUGGUCUCGAACUCCUGACCUCGUGAUCCACCCGCUUCGGCCUCCCAGGUCCUCCUUCCGUUUUAAAGGAUAAACCUUGAAAUGCUUUUAAAAUAUGCAGCGUGUAGAAUUUGGUUAGUUGGUUGGUUGGGGUUUUUUAGAGAAAAUGAGAGGUAGAAUGGACUCUAAGUUAAACCCUGGGGGACAGUGUCACUCUGGCCGCUGGCCUGGCUGGGAAAGGCGAUGAGACCCUGAGCAGGUUAAAACCCGUGUCCUGAAGGUGUCCUGUAAAGGGAAAUAGGCCCGUUGCCUCCUUCGUAGGUGCCCUGAGACUCCGACAAGGCAGGAAUGCCAAGGUAUUUCGUACCUGCUCAGCCCUGGCAUGUCAGGUUGCUGAGACCGAGCAGUGUGGGGCUGAGGUGGAAGCGGACCUUCUGGGGCGUGGAAAGCGCACCAGGAGACCCCGGCUCCUUCUCAGCCAGCACUGCCUCAUCCUCAGAACAAAUUUAAGUCAAUUCAUCAUUCAUUCUUUCACCUUCUUUAUAACCAUAUCCAAUUCAUCACCAAGCCCAAUGGAUUUUCCCUUCUAAAUAAAUCCCUCUAACAUCUUCUCUCUCUUUUCCCACAGACGCCCACUUGUCUGGAACCUUCUUACACCUAAAUAGUUAGAAUCCACUCCUAUUUGGUCUCCUUAACUCCAAGCUCCUGCCGUCCCAAUCACUGUCAGACUAACCUUUCAUAACCACUGCUUUCUCUACCCAGAGACCUGCCACGGCUCCCUACUUUCUAUCUCCACAAGUCCAAAUCCUGCCCCCCGCCACACACACACACACACACUUACCACCCUUUUUACAGUAGCUCUCCCGCCUCCUUUAGCUCCUGUUGCCCUGUGUGUGGCUUAUUUACAGGUUUGAUGGUGCAGUUUCCUUCUCUAGGGUGUUAGCUCCAUGGGGAAGCAGCUUCUUCUGUGUUGUUCACCACUGUGCCUGGUGAACACCACUGCACCUAGCACACAAUGGGCACUGAAGAAGGCACUGAGUCGCAGAAGAAUGAAUGAAUUCCCCUCCCUGGUGAGGCCAGAAGCAACAUCCUGUUUGGAAUUCUGUGCAGGACUCAGGGAUUCCAUGAGGUGCAGCCCAGGCACACCCCCUUCUAAUCCUCUCCCUCUGGGGAGACCUUUCCUGCUCCUUCAUAUGAGUUUCUACCACCCUGCUGGCCUCUUCGAUGCAGUUUAGCCCCUGACAAUGACUAACGGACUCAUUUGACUCUCAUCAUCUCUAGUAAUUUAAAAAUUCCCUAGGGUCAGGGAGCAGGUCCUAACCUCAUUCAACACCUCACCCAGUGCCUUGUCCCUUUCUCAGCACAUUCUUCUACUCAGUAAAUGUUUGAAGAAGCCUCAUGAGGGCAGGAAUCUUUGUGUUUUGUUUCUCUUAUGUCUCCCAAGUACCUGGCCCUGGAAGGCAAUUGAUGCUCAAUCAAUACACAUUUUAAUAAAUUCGCUAGUGAACUGAAACACCACCUGAAACACUGCUGCUUUUAGAGUUUGUGGAGGGAGGGACUGUUCCCUGCACCUACCCCAGUGACUGGCACCUGGAAUUCACCGAGCAAGUUGGUUGAAAAAGUUAAAGGAAUUUUCCAGCACUUUGAAAACUAAACCAAGAGAAUGUCUCCAUAUCAAAUUUCAGCCACUCCUUAUAAAAAUGUCUUAAAGGCUGUAAAUCACCGUAUUCACCUGCAGGAAGCAGUGUUGAGGAAGGAGGUAGUAUAGGGUUAAGGGUCUAUUUAAACCAGCUGCUUAGGGCCAAGUUAGAUGUUUAUUCUGUCUAGUUUAAACCACUGGCUUAACAGGGUACUUAAUUUUCCAGUUUCAUCAAAGAAAUGUGCUGUGAGGCCAAGAAAAUUAUGUAGUUCAUUUUUUUAAAAGAGAUGCAAACUGAGAAAUUCUGUGACCAUUAACAGUCUCAUUAAAGAAAUAAGAAAAUAUGAUUGUUUCUCUUAGAUUUUGCAAAAUGGCUAAGGAGCAUUUUUAGACACUUUGUUGUAGAACAACUCUCUUUUAAGCUACUUUCCUCCUUUCUUAAAAACAAAAUAUAGGCCGGGUGUGGUGGCUCACACUUGCAAUCCCAGCACUUUGGGAGGCUGAGGCAGAUGGAUCACCUGAGGUCAGGAGUUCGAGACCAGCCUGGCCAACAUGGUGAAACCCCAUCUCUACUAAAAGUACAAAAAUUAGCUGGGCGUGAUGGUAGGCACCUGUAAUCCCAGCUACUUGGGAGGCUGAGGCACGAGAAUCGCUUGAAUCCAGGAGGCAGAGGUUACAGUGAGCCGAGGUCAUGCCACUGCACUCCAGCCUGGUGGUCAGAGCGAGACUUUGGCUCAAAAAAAAAAAAAAUGUAUUAUCCAUUUAUUAUGUACUCAUUCAGCAGAUAGGAGCAAAAGCGCCCAUUCUACUCUUAAGUCCCAACCCAGAAAUAGAGCAGUGAGGGAAACUGACAGCAUCCUGGGCCUCAGCACCUGCUGGGAGAAAGAGCCAACAAAAUACACAGCAACACACAGGAUAUAGCACCCUUGGUGUUGAUUAAACGCUAGAUGAAGAAAAGGGAGGAGGAGACGGGAGGAAUGCAGGCUGAGGCGGUGGCAGGGGGCUCCAUUUUAAACAGGAUGUCGACAAAGAUAGAAUUUCAGCGAGUGCUAGAAUGAGGUAAGGACUUACAUCAACAAUCUGCCCGCACCAUUUCUUCUUAGAUUUCAGAAACUGUUUUCGUUUGAUUCAAUACUGGUGCCUUCCUUCGGUUCAUUUUCUGUUUAUCAUAAAAAUUAUCCUAGGUCUUCAAAACUAAUUUAAUGGAAUUGUAUAGAAAUGGAAAUAAAAGUGACUACAAGCUUCAAAAAGGUAGAUUUUGGGUAUAAAGACAAUCUUAUAUAUUUUUUUCUUUUUCAAGACAAAGUCUCACGUUGUCAUCCAGGUUAGAGUGUAGUGGCACGAUCUAGGCUCACUGCAACUUCUGCCUCCCCGAUUCAAGCGAUUCUUGUGUGUCAGCCUCCUGAGUAGCUGGGACCACGAGCGUGCACCACCACGCCUGGCUAAUUUUUGUAUUUUUAGUAGAGAUGGGGUUUUGCCAUGUUGGCCAAGCUGGUCUCAAACUCCUGGCCCCAAGUGAUACACCUGUCUUGGCCUCCCAAAGUGCUGGGAUUACAGGCGUGAGCCACCAUGCCUGGCCAAA
RNAcentral lists this long non-coding RNA (3950 nucleotides) under Homo sapiens (human). RNAcentral describes it as "HSALNT0206904". The record is from RNAcentral. Lineage: Eukaryota; Metazoa; Chordata; Mammalia; Primates; Hominidae.